UACGUAGGAGGCGAGCGUUAUCCGGAUUUACUGGGCGUAAAGGGGGCGCAGGCGGCCUUUCAAGUCGGAUGUAAAAUCUCCCGGCUUAACCGGGAGGGACCAUUCGAUACUGUUGGGCUUGAGAGCAGCAGGGGGAGGUGGAAUUCCCGGUGGAGUGGUGAAAUGCGUAGAUAUCGGGAGGAACACCAGUGGCGAAGGCGGCCUUCUAGGCUGUUUCUGACGCUGAGGCCCGAAAGCGUGGGGAG
This 245-nucleotide ribosomal RNA is filed under the name uncultured Chloroflexota bacterium. RNAcentral describes it as "uncultured Chloroflexi bacterium partial 16S ribosomal RNA". It matches the Rfam family "Bacterial small subunit ribosomal RNA", at positions 524 to 768 of the family's 1533-position model. Lineage: Bacteria; Bacillati; Chloroflexota. The record is from RNAcentral.